UGAGGAAUAUUGGUCAAUGGGCGAGAGCCUGAACCAGCCAAGUAGCGUGAAGGAUGAAGGUCCUACGGAUUGUAAACUUCUUUUAUACGGGAAUAAAGUUUCCUACGUGUAGGAUUUUGUAUGUACCGUAUGAAUAAGCAUCGGCUAACUCCGUGCCAGCAGCCGCGGUAAUACGGAGGAUGCGAGCGUUAUCCGGAUUUAUUGGGUUUAAAGGGAGCGCAGACGGGAGAUUAAGUCAGUUGUGAAAGUUUGCGGCUCAACCGUAAAAUUGCAGUUGAUACUGGUUUCCUUGAGUGCAGUUGAGGCAGGCGGAAUUCGUGGUGUAGCGGUGAAAUGCUUAGAUAUCACGAAGAACCCCGAUUGCGAAGGCAGCUUGCUAAACUGUAACUGACGUUCAUGCUCGAAAGUGUGGGUAUCAAACAGGAUUAGAUACCCUGGUAGUCCACACGGUAAACGAUGGAUACUCGCUGUUGGCGAUAUACUGUCAGCGGCCAAGCGAAAGCAUUAAGUAUCCCACCUGGGGAGUACGCCGGCAACGGUGAAACUCAAAGGAAUUGACGGGGGCCCGCACAAGCGGAGGAACAUGUGGUUUAAUUCGAUGAUACGCGAGGAACCUUACCCGGGCUUAAAUUGCAGACGAAUUACGAGGAAACUUGUAAGCCGCAAGGCGUCUGUGAAGGUGCUGCAUGGUUGUCGUCAGCUCGUGCCGUGAGGUGUCGGCUUAAGUGCCAUAACGAGCGCAACCCUCGUGGUCAGUUACUAACAGGUUAAGCUGAGGACUCUGGCCAGACUGCCAUCGUAAGAUGUGAGGAAGGUGGGGAUGACGUCAAAUCAGCACGGCCCUUACGUCCGGGGCUACACACGUGUUACAAUGGGAGGUACAGAAGGCAGCUACCCGGCAACGGGAUGCCAAUCCCCAAAACCUCUCUCAGUUCGGACUGGAGUCUGCAACCCGACUCCACGAAGCUGGAUUCGCUAGUAAUCGCGCAUCAGCCACGGCGCGGUGAAUACGUUCCC
Molecule: ribosomal RNA, 1017 nt
Filed under: uncultured bacterium
Lineage: Bacteria
Description: bacterial SSU rRNA
Rfam family: Bacterial small subunit ribosomal RNA
Source: RNAcentral